This is a non-coding RNA of Phrynosoma platyrhinos (Desert horned lizard), 75 nucleotides long. The record is from the annotation of a GenBank genome assembly. NCBI's taxonomy places the organism in Eukaryota, Metazoa, Chordata, Lepidosauria, Squamata, Phrynosomatidae.
UGGUGUGUGGAGCAGUGGUUUGAGCGUCUGGACUAGGACUCUGGAGAGACCAGGGUUCGAAUCCCUGCUUGGCCA